GCAAUAUACCGUGUAUUGAAAAGUACGUAGUGACUCACCUCUCCGAAAAACUGCAUUAUGCAGCACUGUGAAGCAACGAUUUUAGAAGCAGUAACUUUUGGCCUAUAUCGAUAAAAAUGUUGGAGAGGUUGCUUAUUUGCGGUUAUGGCUUACUUUUUAUCAUUGCUUCUCUGAAUUCAGUUGGCUCACUGUGCGCUGGUAUGCGAUGUCCACAGCAAUACAUGCUUAGCUGCAUGCUUCAAUGCGGCAUACAAACGAGGCGUUGUGUUCCUAGAAGACAACGCUGCCGUGAUGCGUGGAUAACGCUGUGCCCUAAGCCUUCGUAUAAACUGUCGUGCAAUAGAACUCGAACGCCUACAACAUGUGACUGUCAAUGUACCCGCGCUUCCUGUCAUUGAAGCAGACCUUCAAUCAUUCAGGUA
Long non-coding RNA from Rhipicephalus sanguineus (brown dog tick), 422 nucleotides. RefSeq lists it as uncharacterized. The transcript has 5 exons. Lineage: Eukaryota; Metazoa; Arthropoda; Arachnida; Ixodida; Ixodidae. The record is from RefSeq and is a predicted model, not a curated record.